This is a long non-coding RNA of Ipomoea triloba (trilobed morning glory), 4230 nucleotides long. RefSeq lists it as uncharacterized. The record is from RefSeq and is a predicted model, not a curated record. Lineage: Eukaryota; Viridiplantae; Streptophyta; Magnoliopsida; Solanales; Convolvulaceae. The transcript is spliced from 2 exons.
UCCACCUGCAGCAAUUCUGAUAGCUGUUAGUACUAAACUGAUUCCGAAGGUGUAAGUUGUGAUUGUUCUUUUUAAAUCUUCACUUUUUUUGUAUACAAUAGGUUAUUAUAAUGAGAUUGCUGUCCAAAAUUUAUUACCUUUAUAGAUUACACUCAGCAACAUACAGGUGAUUGUAUAACACUAUGUUUUCUAUAAUUACCUUCCUCAAAACUGUCUGCCACAUCAGUAUAUGCCCAGGAGAGGAGUUGUUCAACCUGCAGCAAUUUUGAUAGCUGUGAGUUCUAUAGUGAUUCCGAAGAUGUAAGUUGUGAUUGCUCUUUUUAAAUCUUCAUGUUUCUUUGUAUACAAAAGGUUAUUAUAUUAUUCUUCCUCCUUUUAUCACACUUUUUGCUAACAAGAAUGCUAUGCAAACCCAAAAGGAUGUAUACUGUACAUACUUCAGCAUAGAGUUCAUAAAGUCCAGAAGUUAUAGGCAUACAACCAUACUGCCAAGUGCCAAUCUGCAUAAGUGCAUAACACAUUAAAACUAAUAGUGUCUACUUAAUAAACCAACAUUGUGUCCUUAAUAAACUAAUACGGAGUAGUAAAUGAAAUAAAAACUUGAAACUUAAAACACAAGACAACACAGUUCAUUUGGAGCCUGGAGAUAAAUAGAACUUAUAACUUAAUAUAAUACUUAAUAUAAUACAGAAACUCACUUUUUUUUUUUUUUGAAAACCAGAAACUCACCAAUACACUUAAAACAUAAUAGAACUUAAAACUUACAACACAGUAAAUCACAAACACACUUAAAACUUUAAACCAGUAAUUCAUAUGAACUUAUUUUAAUAUAAAAUCUGAAGUUAAUAGAAUUAUACACAAUUAGAAAUUACCUUGAAUAGAUUAUUGGAAUUUUUGGAGUCUGGAGACUUUGAUUUAUAUAAAUCAAACUAUCAACUAAUCAAGAACUAAUAAAAGUGAACAAAUAAAUAAAAAAAUUCUGGAUUCUGAAACAUUCAAUUGUACUGUGUAACAUCUUUUUUUUUAUGGUAAAUCAAACUAACAACUAAUCAAAGUAAAAAAAUAAUGGAAUAGAAUCUAUAAAAUUAGUAUGCAAGUUCGAAACUUUCACUUUGGAGUUGGAACUUUGAAUAAGUGAAGAACGAAUUUAUGUGAUAUGUUUUAUGUGAAUCAAAGUAUCAACUAAUCAAUAGAACAAAGAGAUGCUCACUAUAGACUUCUGUCUUGUGUGUUGCAUGCACAAGAGCCAAAGAAAAAUGCAAAAAAGAAAAGAAAUAAAUUUAAACAUUAAAAUAAGUCCAACACUCAGCACACUGCGGAACCCGGGAGACAUAUUUCCACUUGGAAUUGGCUCAAUCUUAAACAAAUGGAAAGAGAUAUUGAGGUGUUGAAGCACUAACACAAAGAAAUUAAAGAUGCAAACAGAAAUGGAAAGGUACUGACUAAGAUAAGAGCAACAUAGCUUUAAGUAGGAUAUGGUGUAACCUUAGUCAAAUUACUCUUUUAUGUGUUCACUUGAGAGCAGAAAAGUUUGUUAAAACUGAAGGUUCAGGGGCAAAAAAUGUUUAAUUGCAUACAGUUAAGAUUUGAGAAGAAUGUUAUUUAAUAAAAACAAUCAGUGGAGUUUCUUUCUAUUUGCUAAACACUUGGUAUAGAAUAGGAAUGGAAUGGAAAAAAGAGAAAAAAGGCAAUUUAACUUCAAUAAUCAAUAUGUUUCAAAGAGUCGAUCCAUACAGCUUGAGUAAUUCAAAACGUAUUCAUAUUUUCAUAAUCCAAGCGCAAGAAUCUCAAAUACAAAUUACACUCCAUAUUGAAUAGGCUAAUAAAUUGAAAGAACAAAAAGACAUAAAACCAUGAAACACGGAGCUACAAAUAGAGGUAAAGUUCAAGACAUACCUAAUUUCGUUUCUUUAAUUCUACUAAUACCUUAUAAUUACCACAAUAAUGUAAACCACAUCUUAUUGAAAUCUUUUUAACCUUUAUAUUAUGAAAACUUCUUAGUUGUUCUUCAGCAAGUUCAUCAGAGAAGGAAGAUCAAAUUAUACUGAAGAACCUCGAGGGGUUUACCAUUGAUUGUAUGAUGAAAACGGAGCUUAAAAAAUUGCAAGUUCAACACAGGAGGAAGAUCACAUUAUAGUGAAGAACCUCAAGGGGCUUACAAUUGACUAUAUGAUGAAAACAGAGCUACAAAUAGAGGUAAAGUUCACGACAUGCCUAAUUUCGUUUCUCUAAUUCUACUAAUACCUUAUACUUACAACAAUAAUGGUAACCGCAUCUUAUUGAAAUCUUUUUAUCCUUUUUAUUAUGAAAACCUCUUCGGUAUACAAAAACUUAAGCUGGCUACUUAAUAAACUAACAGUGAAUCAACAAAAAACUUAAAACUUAAAACAUAGUAUAACACAGUUUAGGAGCUUGGAGAGAAAUAGAACUGAAAACUUAAUACUGAAUAUAACAUAGUAACUCACUAAUACACUUAAAACUUAAUUGAACUUAAAACAAAGUGAAGUCACUAACAGACUUAAAAUCCAAAUCAAAUAAUCAAAUACUAACAUACUCUUACAAAUCACUAAUUGAAUGGGGGCAAGAAAAUUCACAAAACUACAUAAAAUAAACAAAGUACCAUAUGACAGUAAACUGCCAAAAUCUCUUAAUAAAGCUCUGUUAGCGAGAUGAUUGCAAUUCUGAAUUAAAUAAUCCACUUUCAACAUGUUGGCAAAGAUUAUGGAUUAUAAUCGUAAAACACUUUGUAGCUUAUAAGCCAAACCAUAAGUAACUUAGGAAUUAGUUUAUUGAUUAUUAACAAUCCACACACGAAACCAUAACUAUAAAUUAUGUAUGUGCUUUAAGAGCUACAUAGAUAUGUUACAGCUCUAUUCCAAAAAAAAAAAAAAAUGUUACAACACUAAAAACUAAAGAUCUCUCACUCAUACUAAUUACUAAUUAAAGGUAAACAAACAAGCAUACAACUUCAUUCCAUUAGAAAGCUAUUUCUUAAAACAAAAUCAUAGCCAAGAGAUAGAUGUUUGCCUUAAAUUACAUAAAUAAAAAAUGCAAGAUCUAAUAUGAUCAAUUAUGCAGGAACUGGCUAAUUAUCAUAGUAAUUUCCAGAACCUAAAUAUUCCCUUUCAAGAAAUCAUAAUAACAAUAAAUAAUUUAUGUUACAAAGAAGAAAACACAGAUCAAAAUCAUGAGCAAAAACAUCACCAUCUAGCCGAUAAUCUAACAUUUCUCAUCAAGUUUCAUGUUUUGUAAUAUAAUUUUGUAAUAGAAGUAUGGUAAACAAACAAAAACUAUCAAAACAAGCACCAAUCAACAGAAAGACGAUCGAUAAUCACAUAAGAAGCUCACCGGAAAGUUAGAUCUUGAAACGGAAACUCAACCACCUCCACCUCGAACCAGACGGCGGGCGGCUGGAGUCCUCGGGACAACCGUCGAUGGCGCCGGCGUCAAUCGGCUGUCUGGUUUUGCAUAAACGCCACUGCUGUUGUCAACGGCGUGACGGAGUGGGCACCGGUGGUGGGAGAUCUCCGGCUUGGUUAUGCGUGAUGGCUGGUGUUAGUUGGCCAGGUAGGAGCUACCGGCUUCAUCAAUCCAGAUCUACGAAUCUGUUGUCUGGUUUGAGUCAACGCCACUGCUACUGCCGAGGGCAUGACGCGGUGAGCAGCGGUGGUGGGAGACCUCCGGCUUGGCUGGGCGUGGUGGCUGAUGUUGGUGAGUGACGGAGAGAGGCCGCAACCGGCGACGAGCUAGCAAGAGCAGGAGUCACUGAUGUAGGCGGAGCGCUGCGGGAGGGGAAAAAUAGCAGCUGGAGUGGCGGCCUCCGGCUUGGUUGACGGCGGAGAUUGGACAGCUGCAGCUGCGGGUAGGGACUUCACGGGAGUGGCGGCCGGUGGAGAGCUCACCGGCAUAGAAGCGGACGGUGCAGAUUCCGGCGUAUUAGCUCGGGACUGCGGCUGUAGGUGGAGUAGAGGCUGGAGCCUAGGCCGGAGUAGUCGAAGCAGGAGCGGGAGUUUUAGGCUUUGAAGGAGUGGCGGUUGUGGAAGGCGAAGCAGCCGAAGUGGCGGCGGCCUUUCGAUGAAGAGGGGGGCAAAGGUCUGUGCGGCUGCGAUUUAGGAUUUAGGGUUAUCGACUGGCUACUUCACGAGAUUGACAGAGAGGUUAGGCUCCGUAAGAGGUAAUAAUAAUAAUAAUAAUUCUUUCAAAAAUAAUAAUAAUACUACCUUCAUAAUA